ACGGAAGGCAGCAGUGAGGAAUAUUGGUCAAUGGGCGGAAGCCUGAACCAGCCAAGUCGCGUGAAGGAUGAAGGUAUUAUGUAUUGUAAACUUCUUUAGCAGCAGAGAAAUAAGAGGGUCGUGACCCUUGAUGCUAGUAUGCUGAGAAUAAGCAUCGGCUAACUCCGUGCCAGCAGCCGCGGUAAUACGGAGGAUGCGAGCGUUAUCCGGAUUUAUUGGGUUUAAAGGGUGCGCAGGCGGUCUUUUAAGUCAGUGGUCAAACCGUGGUGCUCAACGCCAUCCCGCCAUUGAUACUGGGAGACUUGAUUGCGGUUGAGGUAGGCGGAAUUCGUCGUGUAGCGGUGAAAUGCAUAGAUAUGACGAAGAACACCGAUUGCGUAGGCAGCUUACCAAGCCGUAAAUGACGCUCAUGCACGAAAGUGCGGGGAUCGAACAGGAUUAGAUACCCUGGUA
RNAcentral lists this ribosomal RNA (453 nucleotides) under uncultured Porphyromonadaceae bacterium. Its description in RNAcentral is "partial 16S ribosomal RNA". It matches the Rfam family "Bacterial small subunit ribosomal RNA", at positions 341 to 792 of the family's 1533-position model. Lineage: Bacteria; Pseudomonadati; Bacteroidota; Bacteroidia; Bacteroidales; Porphyromonadaceae. The record is from RNAcentral.